AGGAGAGGAAUGAAAAAGAAAACGGAAGAAAAAAAUAGGUGAAAAAGAAAGUAAGUAUAAUUUUCAUUAUUUAAUUUGAUAUAAAAUUCAUUUUUUUCGCCUUAAUGCUUUCAAAUGAUGGAAUAAAGUAGCAAAUUCAUUUAAAAAAAAAAAAAAAACUGAUUUUAGGAUCUGUUAUUAUUCCUUUCUCGAUUCCCAUUUUUCGUGGUUGCAAGUAUCUUAGAAUUGAAUACGCAUCUGCUUCAUUGGAGUCUAGUAAAUUGAAAUGCAUUAAUCUCAAGUCACAUGGGAGGCCAAUAAUAUCAAUAUUUGCAUUCUCUACGGAUUAUAUUCGUGGACGAGAGCUUUCGAAAAGGAAAUGCAGACGCUCAUCAGCUCGUGGGGUUGUUUGUUUUCUGAUGUAAGAAUGAUGAGUUUGUACUUUGUAGCUAGCUAGGUCCCUUCUUAAUAUUUUUUGGCAUCCGUACUUCAUUUAAGUGGAGAUAAUUGCAAUUAUUGAAUUUGUUGAAAUUGCCUACCGCCACAAUUGACAUUUAGCUCUGGCUGGAGAAAGUGAUUCAAAGAUGAAAUGCCCAUUCACUUGCUUGUUUUCAUAUUUAUUUAUCUUUCUAGCUUUCAUAUAUAAUCAUGGUGUCUUACACUCAAGUCGGUUAAUUAAAUGUGUACAGGAGUUAAGGAUAACUCAUACUUCAAUUGCUGAUUGGUUUAGCCAACGUAGGGUUGACCACUACUUAAACUGCUUAGGCUUUUUUCGGAUAAAUUCUUCACCAUCUAUCGUCCAUAAUGACUUAUAUGUGAGGAUUUGUGGGGAACAAGUCACAUUAUCGCUUUCUUCGUUAGUUAAUGUUAUGUGCGUAGCUGUGAAUUGAGGCUUUUGAUCACCUCUUUUGUGCAUUAAUCUAUUUUCCAAUUACUAAAUCUUGCCAUUAUAUAAAAGAAAAUCAAAACCAUUCAAGCAUGUGCCCACGCAUUUCUAUCGUUAUCUUAACGAAUUAGUAAACGUUUUUCUGUUCAAAAUCAGCUGUUAAUAUUGGUAUGGGUUAUUAAUGACAAAAAUAUCUCACUUCUUCACAAGAGAUUCCCUAAUGUUACUAUAAAAAGUAAUAAAUUCAUCUCAGUGAUUUUAAUGCCCUAAUUUUAUUAGUUAUAAAUAAUUCAAGGUAUUAGAAGCUUAAUCACGGAUUAGUUACAGAGAGUUUGAGAUUAGGUUGGGUUGGGUCAAUCUGAAAUCUGAAAACGAAACCCGACGAUCAUUUCCAAUUCUGCCUACAUCACGUGAAAGCACAAUCUCACCGAUCUUAAAUCGGUGCGUUUUCGCCGAUUUUCAGUCACGCCGUCGCUUGCGUUUUGUCCUCUUCAAAACCCGACCGGUAACCGUUACCAAAAGCAGCCAAAUCACUGUCGAUUUUGCUUAACACAUCUGCGUCAGAGCACAACACCGCCAUUGUUGGAUUCAAAUCACGCUUAACACACCGCCCAUUGGAGCACAACACCGCCAUCGUUGGAUUCAUCCCGACCACCGUUGGUUGAUUUCUAGUUAUCAUUGACCGGUGAGGAUAUUUUGGUGUCGUUAGACUUCAAGGGUAAUUCUGUAAUUUAUGACUUUGAGGAUAUCUUAGUAAUAUAUGAAUUCAAGAGUACCUUGGUAAUUUAUGAUUAGGACUUGAUAAUAUUCAUUAAUGUUGCACGUGGAUGUCAAGAAUUAGACUUCUAAAUGAAUCAAAAUAAAAAAAAUUGUAUAUAUUUGACAUGUUUUUUUUUUUAUAUAUGUGCAGAUAUGCAUUUUAUAUGAUCUUGACCUUGUGUUUAUGUGAUGCGUAGUUAUUUGCUAAGCGUAAUCAUAUACAUGGCAUAAAUAUGUGUGAAAGUUCGUUGGCAUAAGCAUAUGUGUGAAAGUUCAUUGGCAUAAACAUGAACAUGCGAAGCUUUAAUAAAAAACAUGUUUAUUAAUUGCAUUUGUAAUUUUAUGAUUUAUAUGUGAACUUUGUUAUCAUACUAAUUGUUACGAGAGUUUGCAUUGCAUUAGGGGCCACCUCUUAAAGUUAUGUGGGUGACACCUCUUGAGACUAUGCGGGGUCAACUUUCGAAAGUUAAUGUACCGCAAAAUGCUACACAUAGUACAAAGUGACAUAUGCGUGACAUGUAUUUUAUUGAAAGAAAAUGUGAAAGUUUAAAAGUGACAAAAAAAGAUUUUGAUAAAUUUAUUUUACAUUGUUUUCAAAAGAUCAUGACAUAUCAUCUGCAAAGUGCCACACAUUGAUUUAAAAACUAGUUUGUUUACUAAGCUUUGUACUCAUUAUGGUUUAUUGUGAUUCAGUUUUCAGAGGUCAGGAUUAAUUCCUAAUGAGUGAGAAUAAUGAUUUGAAUUGAGAAUGAUAAAUGGUUUGACAAAAUUCUUUAAUAUUCAUUUGUUGUGUAAUAGUUGUAUUCGAGAAUUGAAUUUUGAUCGAUUAUAAAAGGUCGUUUAAGGUUUAUAUGUGGGUUGUGGUUAGAUUUGCUCAUAGGAUUCGGACUCGGUGUUACAGUAAUACUAAAUGGGUCAUUAAUGGAAAAGAAAAAUGUCAUUGGAACACCACAUAUGGUAUUGUAAAAAAACAAGAACACUGUACACGAAUAAUGUGUUCUUUUAACUUGUUUUGUAUACUAUAUAGUUACCGUGUAGUAAACAGUAACACUUUUGAUGUCGCUUUGGUUCAAAUAUUAGUAUGGGUUAUUAAUGGCAAAUAGAUCGCACUUCUUUAGAAGAGAUUCUUAAAAGUCAGUGUAAGAGUCCGUUUGGAAAUGUGGUGAGGUAGAUGGGCUGCCAAAGCCCAACUACUAAGGUGUUUGGUAACACUUGUAAUUGGGCUUUGACAGCUUAGUAAAAAUUUUUUUUUAACUUCUACUCCACAUCUAUAGUUUUUACUCAACAACAGCUGCAACUUAAAAGUUACAACACCUCACUCCCAAACACACUCUAAAAAGGAAGAAACUGCUGUUCAAGCACGUUUACGUAAGCAACGUUUAAGCUUUUCUGACCCAAGUAAUUUAAUUUAAAAUUAUUGCGAUAUUUUAUGCAUGGAAUCUGAUUUUGUUUGCCUCAACGAACUUUCACCAG
RNAcentral lists this long non-coding RNA (3097 nucleotides) under Citrus sinensis (sweet orange). RNAcentral describes it as "long non-coding RNA (CSIN_LNC002702)". Lineage: Eukaryota; Viridiplantae; Streptophyta; Magnoliopsida; Sapindales; Rutaceae. The record is from RNAcentral.